RNAcentral lists this transfer RNA (69 nucleotides) under Mylabris sp. MYL01. Its description in RNAcentral is "tRNA-Gln". The record is from RNAcentral. Lineage: Eukaryota; Metazoa; Arthropoda; Insecta; Coleoptera; Meloidae.
UAUGUUUUAGUAUAGGAUGUACAGAAGUUUUUGAUACUUCAGGAGGUAGUUUGAAUUUACCAAAUAUAA